AAGCCCCGGACACCCUCUGGGGGU
Molecule: transfer RNA, 24 nt
Filed under: Paroedura sp. tg1064
Lineage: Eukaryota; Metazoa; Chordata; Lepidosauria; Squamata; Gekkonidae
Description: partial tRNA-Cys
Source: RNAcentral